Long non-coding RNA from Salvelinus fontinalis (brook trout), 1070 nucleotides. RefSeq lists it as uncharacterized. The transcript has 3 exons. The record is from RefSeq and is a predicted model, not a curated record. Lineage: Eukaryota; Metazoa; Chordata; Actinopteri; Salmoniformes; Salmonidae.
AUCCAGGGUUUAUAAACGUCAUUGGUGUGAACGCAGUCUCUGUCUACAACAGCUAGCAGUCACUUCAAACUGUCACUUCACUACUGAUUCUUCAGAUAAUGUAGCUAUUUUAUUAUUUUGCUAGCAAACGUUAGCAAUGUAUGCUUAUGUCGAUUAUUAUGUAGACAUGGAAAUAUAAAAAUAUGCUAUAUCAAAAAUGUAGCUUGAAGACUUUGAUCCAUGCAAUAUGGAGAUGCCAAUUUACUACAAAGCCAGGACACAUCCUAUUCAUGAAAGUAGGUCCCAGGACCUUGGCCCUGCUGCAGCCCCUUGCCACACACAGAAGAGACCACCUGGCCACACCCGGAAGAGACCACCUGGGUGAUAAGCUUUCAGCAACCCUCAGCACCAGGAGCCUGAAGGGAAAAGCCUGCCCCACAUUAGAAACAGCCCCUGACUACGAAGAAAUAUAAUGCCUUGAAAGGUAUUUAUAGCUAAAUACAACUUGCCCAUUGUCUUUUUUUGUUGUAUUGCAAGCUAUGGUCCUUUAGUCUGGCUAAGAAACUGGCCCUUCGGCAAUCUCAGCGUUACAGCGCAGUUGUUAAUUGGUAGUUGGAAACAACAUAAAUAUUUUCCAUGACAACUUUAUGGAUCACGUGGUUCAGUUAUAUUAUUUGUUCCUCUUAUUAAUUGAUGGAGUCCAGGCAGGAUACUUUAGGAAAAAUUCUGAAUUGCCAUAGAGAGAAUUAGCGAACUCACACAUGCACACUGUCACGCUCUGGCCUUAGUUAUCUUUGUUUUCUUUAUUAUUUUAGUUAGGUCAGGGUUUGAGAUGGGGGAUGUAUGUGUUUUGUAUUGUCUAGGGGUUUUGUAUGUUUAUGGGGUAGUGUCUAGUCUAGGUGUAAAUAUGUCUAUGGUUGCCUAGAUUGGUUCUCAAUUAGAGACAGCUGUCUAUCGUUGUCUCUGAUUGGGAACCAUAUUUAGGCAGCCAUAUUCAUUAGGUAGUUUGUGGGUGAUUGUCUAUGUCUAUGUUGCAUGUUAGCACAUUGUUUCUAUAGUUUCACGUUCGUCGUUUUAUUGUUUUGUAUAGU